This 441-nucleotide ribosomal RNA is filed under the name uncultured bacterium. Its description in RNAcentral is "partial 16S ribosomal RNA". It matches the Rfam family "Bacterial small subunit ribosomal RNA", at positions 338 to 795 of the family's 1533-position model. The record is from RNAcentral.
CCUACGGGUGGCAGCAGUGAGGAAUAUUGGUCAAUGGGGGGAACCCUGAUGCAGCGACGCCGCGUGGGUGAAGGAGUGCUUCGGCAUGUAAAGCCCUAUCGGCAGGGAAGAAGCAAGACGGUACCUGACUAAGAAGCCCCGGCUAACUACGUGCCAGCAGCCGCGGUAAUACGUAGGGGGCGAGCGUUAUCCGGAUUCACUGGGUGUAAAGGGAGCGUAGACGGCCAUGCAAGCCAGGGGUGAAAGCCCGGGGCCCAACCCCGGGACUGCCCUUGGAACUGUGCGGCUAGAGUGCGGGAGGGGCAGGCGGAAUUCCUGGUGUAGCGGUGAAAUGCGUAGAUAUCAGGAGGAACACCGGCGGCGAAGGCGGCCUGCUGGACCGCGACUGACGUUGAGGCUCGAAAGCGUGGGGAGCGAACAGGAUUAGAUACCCCAGUAGUC